This 84-nucleotide transfer RNA is filed under the name Streptomyces sulfonofaciens. RNAcentral describes it as "tRNA-Pro". The record is from RNAcentral. Lineage: Bacteria; Bacillati; Actinomycetota; Actinomycetes; Kitasatosporales; Streptomycetaceae.
GCGGCACGGGCCGCGGGGGCCUGGGGGGCCUCGGGGGCCGCCUGCGCGGAACCCGGCGCGCCGGUCGCGCCGGUCGCGCCGCCC